GUCCCCUUCGUCUAGCGGUUUAGGACAUCGCCCUUUCACGGCGGAAACACGGGUUCGAGUCCCGUAGGGGACGCCA
This 76-nucleotide transfer RNA is filed under the name Rhodospirillaceae bacterium. RNAcentral describes it as "tRNA-Glu". It matches the Rfam family "tRNA". From Rfam's summary of the family: Transfer RNA (tRNA) molecules are approximately 80 nucleotides in length. Their secondary structure includes four short double-helical elements and three loops (D, anti-codon, and T loops). The record is from RNAcentral. Lineage: Bacteria; Pseudomonadati; Pseudomonadota; Alphaproteobacteria; Rhodospirillales; Rhodospirillaceae.